UACGUAGGUCCCGAGCGUUAUCCGGAUUUAUUGGGCGUAAAGCGAGCGCAGGCGGUUAGAUAAGUCUGAAGUGAAAGGCUGUGGCUUAACCCAAGUAUGCAUUGGAAACUGCUUCACUUGAGUGCAGAAGGGGAGAGUGGAAUUCCAUGUGUAGCGGUGAAAUGCGUAGAUAUAUGGAGGAACACCGGUGGCGAAAGCGGCUCUCUGGUCUGUAACUGACGCUGAGGCUCGAAAGCGUGGGGAGCAAACAGG
This 252-nucleotide ribosomal RNA is filed under the name uncultured bacterium. RNAcentral describes it as "partial 16S ribosomal RNA". It matches the Rfam family "Bacterial small subunit ribosomal RNA", at positions 524 to 776 of the family's 1533-position model. The record is from RNAcentral.